GGUCUACAGAUGUGCAACUCUGGGACCUCCUCCACCUCAUCUUAUAGAGGGAAGGCCUACACCUGCCAACAGGUGGGGCACUAAUAACUGGAGCAUUGGUAAUACGAGUGUGUUUCCCCGGUCACUCCCCAUGGUAGGUGGUGGUGUAACCGUGUUUAACUACCAGGGGUUUUUAUGACACUAUGUCAACAUAGGUCAGCUGAUAGCCAUUGUGUAUAGGUAAUCGGUAGUCACCCUGGCGCCUCAACGAAAUAUUAUAGAAUACUCUGUAGCAAAAGUAAUGCCACAAAGUAAAAAUGUAUAUAUUCAAGUCAUGAAAAUGUAAAUACAAGUUGGUGUAAUAAAAUGUAUGUUUAAUUAGAA
Long non-coding RNA from Mytilus californianus (California mussel), 363 nucleotides. RefSeq lists it as uncharacterized. The record is from RefSeq and is a predicted model, not a curated record. The transcript is spliced from 2 exons. Lineage: Eukaryota; Metazoa; Mollusca; Bivalvia; Mytilida; Mytilidae.